RNAcentral lists this ribosomal RNA (406 nucleotides) under uncultured bacterium. RNAcentral describes it as "partial 16S ribosomal RNA". It matches the Rfam family "Bacterial small subunit ribosomal RNA", at positions 30 to 526 of the family's 1533-position model. The record is from RNAcentral.
AUUGAACGCUGGCGGCAGGCUUAACACAUGCAAGUCGAACGAGUGGCGGACGGGUGAGUAAUGUCUUGGAAUCUGCCUUAUGGAGGGGGAUAACUACUGGAAACUGUAGCUAAUACCGCGUACCAUCGGAUGUGCCCAUGUGGGAUUAGCUAGUUGGUGGGGUAAAGGCUCACCAAGACGACGAUCCCUAGCUGGUCUGAGAGGAUGACCAGCCACACUGGGACUGAGACACGGCCCAGACUCCUACGGGAGGCAGCAGUGGGGAAUAUUGCACAAUGGGCGCAAGCCUGACGCAGCCAUGCCGCGUGAAUGAAGAAGGCCUUCGGGUUGUAAAGUACUUUCGGUAGGGAGGCGUUAACUACAGAAGAAGCACCGGCUAACUCCGUGCCAGCAGCCGCGGUAAUAC